RNAcentral lists this ribosomal RNA (423 nucleotides) under uncultured eukaryotic phytoplankton. RNAcentral's name for it is "bacterial SSU rRNA". It matches the Rfam family "Bacterial small subunit ribosomal RNA", at positions 358 to 795 of the family's 1533-position model. The record is from RNAcentral.
GGAAUUUUCCGCAAUGGGCGAAAGCCUGACGGAGCAAUACCGCGUGAGGGAAGACUGCCUAUGGGUUGUAAACCUCUUUUUUCAGGGAGGAAUAAAUGACGUGUACCUGAAGAAUAAGCAUCGGCUAACUCCGUGCCAGCAGCCGCGGUAAGACGGAGGAUGCAAGUGUUAUCCGGAAUCACUGGGCGUAAAGCGUCUGUAAGUGGUUGUUUAAGUCAACUGUUAAAUCUUGAGGCUCAACUUCAAAAUCGCAGUCGAAACUAUUCAACUAGAGUAUAGUAGGGGUAAAGGGAAUUUCCAGUGGAGCGGUGAAAUGCGUAGAUAUUGGAAAGAACACCGAUGGCGAAGGCACUUUACUGGGCUAUUACUAACACUCAGAGACGAAAGCUAGGGUAGCAAAUGGGAUUAGAUACCCCAGUAGUC